UAGUAUGUAGCGUUGGCUAAUUAGUUUUUCGUUGCACGUUGCACUAAUGGCUCGUUUGUGUAUCCUUGGAUGCUGUUUUGGAUCUGUUUACUGCCCUUCCUGCAGGUAUGAGGAAGUUGUUUAGCAAUGUUUAGCUUUAACGGGUGUCAGGUGGCGUGAGUAAUGUGCAGUCCUUGAACUUCAGUUUAACAGCAGGUUAUUUGAAGGCUGCGUAUCCUGAGCGGUGAAUUGAUUUUCAGGAACUUAUCUAUCCGCGUUUGGUAAGUUGUUUCGGUUUGUUAGGGGGAAUUACAGCAUGUAGUUGUGCAAUUACUUGUAUCAUUUAUAUCUUGUAUCAUCGUUUGUAUUAUAUUUUCGUCCUGGGUGAUUAUUGCUGCGAUUCGACUUUUCCCUUGCUGCGUGCCGAGUGAACAACCUCGGUUUACAACUAUUUAAAAGGGGACUUCUGCUGCUGCCGUUUGGCUUUUGUGAUUUGUUUUUAACUGGUAUUGUCUGGCCUACUGUGGGGUGGAGCAACAUGCAAGUAUCGGGGCUGGCUUAAGGACGACGUGGCCGCUCCUUUUGAGUUUUGCUUCCCUCAAACUUUUAAUAAAGUUUUUCAUUGUUUUUCUUUGUAAGAGGUGUAUAUGGUAAAUCAUAUUGUGCUUCGGUGACUGUCCAUACGUUUGCCGUGCGACACUUUUGACGUGUAUGAGUGGGUGCUCUGAGUUCACGGUGUGUGUGUGUGUGUGUGUGUGUGUGUGUGUGUGUGUGUGUGUGUGUGUGUGUGUGUGUGUGUGUGGAAGUGUGCUUUUGAUAAUUAGUGCUGAUCACUCCGUGGGUAACCCCAGCCCUGUAUUUAAGGAUUCUAUUUUGUUUUGUUUAUUUGGAAGUUGUGUAAAUUGGUUGUUUAAUAUUUCGUGUCGGAUUGUUUAUUUUUGUUAUUUGUGUAAUUGUCACCGGACCGUUUUUACCAUUGAGAAUAUUUUCUUUUCAUUCUAUUUUAAUUUCAAGUUUUCAAUAAACUUUGUAUUUUUUAUACGAUGCCCACGUUUCCUGCCUACACUCAUUAAUAAGGGAAUCGAACUUGUGUGAUAUAAUAAACUAGGGGGUUUACUUCUAUUUCCUGGGUGUAACCCUCCCAGGGGGCAUAGUCGAAUUGGUUAAGUAUAUAAAGUUGAGCUUGGGUGUGACGAGCCGUUCGGCUUUCACCCCUAGGCCCCCACCCCUCUCGCCACACAGGCUUUGACAUUUGCGUAUAAUGCCACGGUGCAUGAAACCACUGGAUAUGCCCCAUUUCAGUUAAUGUUUGGUUGUAUCCCAAAGUUGCCAGUUAAUGUCAUUUUUUUUUACCCUAUGGUUGUUGACAAUAGUAACUAUGUGCAAACACUAAUGUCUUACCUCAAAGAAGCAGCAUGCAUUGUUUAGAAACAUACUGAAAAAGAGCAGAGAAGCAGGCCAACUUCUAUAAUCGAAAAGUUAAGGGUAUAUGUUUGAAACAUUGGGGAUAGUGUUGCUUGCCAACAAGGGUGAGAGAGGAAAGAAAAAACUUGCUGAUAGGUGGGAUUUAAGUGUCUAUACUGUAAAGGAACUGGAUCUUAGGGUGAACAUAUACAAAUUGAUUGAUGGGAAGGUUAGGUCAAAAGUGGUGCAUCGCAAUCUAAUCAUUUUGGACAUCAGUUUUCUACCCAUUGAACCAACCCAAGAGGAGAAUGUUUAGUCAAGUGCUGGGAACGUGGAGACCAUACCUUGUAUGUUGGAACUGUCCCAAUCAAUGGAGGGAAAAGGUUCUGAUGAUAGGAUGAAAGCAUGGGUGUUUAAUGAACAGGGAGAAGUCAAGGGUCAAAAGUCUGUUGGUGGUGAUUUGGAAUCUGAUUUUUUUCAGCAGAAUGGCAUAAUUCAAAUGAGGUUGUUGGAGAUUGUUCUGAUCAAGUGUAUGAUGUAAUAGUGAAUCCUACCCUAGUAACUUAGACCAGCAAGUAAGGGCUGUGAAUGACUCUAAUACUAAUCCUAUUACUGACAUGCCAACAAACGUUUCAGAUGACACACAGAGUGAUAGGACUCGAGAGGGUGGUCAAAAGGGUUAGUCGUUUGAGUCCAUGACACAGAAGUCGCCAGUAGUGAAGAGGACAGGAUCGAUUCUUUCUCAGUUUUAAGGAAAAGGUUUUUUCUUUUCUUUAGCAUAGUGUUGUGAAAAAGAUGUGCACAAUGUGGAGUUUAUAAAGUAUGAUGGAUCAGAUUAAUGAAUACUGUAAAAGGCAGUAUGACGUUCUAAAAAUGUCCAGGACUAGACCAACCUUGGAUUGGUCUAGUCUAUAUACUUAUAUACUUAAUCUGUUAAGCAGUUUAUUUACUAUGUUGAACUACAAGCAAGUUAUUGUGAAUCUGAUUCUAUUGUUUACAUAGUCUAAUCCAGUCAGGAUUCUAGUGAAAUUCAGGAGGGGUGAAUGUGACUGAUGUUAAUCUUCAUGUAUGUAUAUUUACACUGUAAACAAAUGCAUUUCACUAAUAAUUAUUUCUAUUUGUUUAAUUUGCUUUAAUUUGUUUAAUAUGUUUUAUGUCCUGUUUAAAUUGAUUAGUUCUGUUUUCCUUGCGAAUUAAGUUGUGCUACCUCAUGAUGUAAUCCGGGAAGCCUGCGCUGGAUCUUCAUCUUACUUUGUGCGUACUGAGAAGAGAAUUGUUUAAGUGUUGGUGACACUAAACUCCCCAGUACUGCUGUGACCCUGUUGUAGCGACUCGUCAUUCCACAACACAACGCAGAGAACACGAGCACCAGUCAGAACCGAACCCGACCGGUUACAUUCACACUGCUGAUUUAUGACUAAGAACAGCUCCAAUCAUAUCAUCCAGUUCACCAAUGACAUGACCGUGCUUCUACUCAGAUCUCAGCAUGUUUUCAUGGAUGAGUGUUCAUUAGCUGUACCUCAGUCCUUGCUAAACUGAACUGCUGGUCCUCCCAGUUGAUUCCAGGUGAUCUGGAGGUCAGGAUCUCAGGAUAACGCUACACAACUCUCUGAUCUUCUCUUCAGCCUCUGCUCGCAACAUCUGGGUGCUUGUUCAGUCUCUUGUCAUUUUGAAACUGGAUUACUGCAACACUCUGCUGCAGAUCUACCUCUCAACACAAAUGAUUCAAAACACAGCUGCAUGACUUGUGUUCAACCUGCCUAAGUUCACCCACACAACCUCACUGCUGCUUCCUCCACCAGCUUCCAGAAGCUGCAAAUAAAAAAUGGACCAGCACCCUCUUACCUCAAAG
This is a long non-coding RNA of Silurus meridionalis, 3235 nucleotides long. RefSeq lists it as uncharacterized. Lineage: Eukaryota; Metazoa; Chordata; Actinopteri; Siluriformes; Siluridae. The record is from RefSeq and is a predicted model, not a curated record. The transcript has 4 exons.